RNAcentral lists this ribosomal RNA (467 nucleotides) under uncultured bacterium. RNAcentral's name for it is "partial 16S ribosomal RNA". It matches the Rfam family "Bacterial small subunit ribosomal RNA", at positions 28 to 506 of the family's 1533-position model. The record is from RNAcentral.
GACGAACGCUGGCGGCGUGCUUAACACAUGCAAGUCGAACGGAAAGGCCCUGCUUUUGUGGGGUGCUCGAGUGGCGAACGGGUGAGUAACACGUGAGUAACCUGCCCUUGACUUUGGGAUAACUUCAGGAAACUGGGGCUAAUACCGGAUAGGAGCUCCUGCAGCAUGGUGGGGGUUGGAAAGUUUCGGCGGUUGGGGAUGGACUCGCGGCUUAUCAGCUUGUUGGUGGGGUAGUGGCUUACCAAGGCUUUGACGGGUAGCCGGCCUGAGAGGGUGACCGGCCACAUUGGGACUGAGAUACGGCACAGACUCCUACGGGAGGCAGCAGUGGGGAAUAUUGCACAAUGGGCGGAAGCCUGAUGCAGCAACGCCGCGUGCGGGAUGACGGCCUUCGGGUUGUAAACCGCUUUCGCCUGUGACGAAGCGUGAGUGACGGUAAUGGGGAAAGAAGCACCGGCUAACUACGU